GCUGGGCACGGUGGCUCGUGCCUGUAGUCCCAGCUACUCAGGAGGUUGAAGUGGGAGGAUCGCUUGAGCCCAGGAGUUCUGGGCUGUACUGUGCUAUGCCGACUGGGUGUCCGCACUAAGUUUGGCAUCAAUAUGGUGACCUCCCAGGAGCAGGUGAUCACCAGGUUGCCUAAGGAGGGGUGAACCGGCCCAGGUUGGAAACGGAGCAGGUCAAAACUCCCGUGCUGAUCAGUAGUGGGAUUGUGCCUGUGAAUAGCCACUGCACUCCAGCCUGGGCAAUAUAGUGAGAUCCCAUCUCA
RNAcentral lists this signal recognition particle RNA (299 nucleotides) under Cebus imitator (Panamanian white-faced capuchin). Its description in RNAcentral is "Metazoan signal recognition particle RNA (ENSCCAG00000005942.1)". It matches the Rfam family "Metazoan signal recognition particle RNA". Rfam says of the family: The signal recognition particle (SRP) is a universally conserved ribonucleoprotein. It is involved in the co-translational targeting of proteins to membranes. Lineage: Eukaryota; Metazoa; Chordata; Mammalia; Primates; Cebidae. The record is from RNAcentral.